UACGUAGGGUGCAAGCGUCAAUCGGAAUUACUGGGCGUAAAGCGUGCGCAGGCGGUUUUGUAAGUCUGUCGUGAAAGCCCCGGGCUCAACCUGGGAAUUGCGAUGGAGACUGCAAGGCUUGAAUCUGGCAGAGGGGGGUAGAAUUCCACGUGUAGCAGUGAAAUGCGUAGAGAUGUGGAGGAACACCGAUGGCGAAGGCAGCCCCCUGGGUCAAGAUUGACGCUCAUGCACGAAAGCGUGGGGAGCGAACAGG
Molecule: ribosomal RNA, 253 nt
Filed under: uncultured bacterium
Lineage: Bacteria
Description: partial 16S ribosomal RNA
Rfam family: Bacterial small subunit ribosomal RNA
Source: RNAcentral